Molecule: ribosomal RNA, 405 nt
Filed under: uncultured bacterium
Lineage: Bacteria
Description: partial 16S ribosomal RNA
Rfam family: Bacterial small subunit ribosomal RNA
Source: RNAcentral
GACGAACGCUGGCGGCGUGCUUAACACAUGCAAGUCGAGCGGAGCGGCGAACGGGUGAGUAACGCGUGAGUAACUGCCCCCCUCUCUGGGAUAACAGUUGGAAACGGCUGCUAAUACCGGAUAGUGGGGGAUGACUCGCGUCCUCUCAGCUUGUUGGUGGGGUAGUGGCCUACCAAGGCGACGACUGGUAGCCGUCCUGAGAAGGGGACCGGCCACAUUGGGCUGAGAUACGGCCCAAACUCCUACUGGAGGCAGUAGUGGGGAAUAUUGCCCAAUGUGGGAAACCCUGAUUCAGAAACGCCGCGUGCGGGAUGACGGCCUUCGGGUUGUAAACCUCUUUCAGCCAUGACUCGGUAGUGGCAGAAGAAGCACCGGCUAACUACGUGCCAGCAGCCGCGGUAAUUC